AUGAUACAUUUGCAUCAUUCGAUAAAUUCCCUUCAUAUGCUAUGCCAUGAACACCUAUCUUUGGACAUGCAUUGCUUUACAUGUUGUUCAAUUUCGCCUUGUGUUGCUUCGAGUACUUUUCUUGCUUGCAACCACACUUAUACUACUGUUCAUGAGGAAGCCUUCAUUGUUUCGUCAUACUUGUUGGGAGAUCUUGAUAUAUUUUUUGCAUCGCGUGCUCCCCAUAUUUGUGUGCACAAUAUGUUUGACUUUGAUAUGAAUGCUAUACACAUUAAUACUAAUGCACCAUACACUUGUUACACUUUGCGUCCCAAUCAUAUUGAUCAUAAUUAUUAUCAUUACAUGAUGGAUGACGUAUUCUUAUACCAUGCAUCAAACUUAUUUGAGCAUUGCAUAUCUUGUUCUAACUCUCACAUGCACAUACACAUCAUGAUGGGUGAUGUGUACAUCUACCACGUGCACACAUUCUUUUGUUUGUGUCUAUGUUGUGUAGGACAUCACACUUACUCGUCAUUUUGGCAAGCACACGAGUUGACGAAACAAGCUCUUGAGAGAAAUGGAAGCGUGUGUUAUCAUGGAGUGCUUAUCCUCCACCCAUCCUCUUCGUGA
This 609-nucleotide ribosomal RNA is filed under the name Triticum aestivum (bread wheat). RNAcentral's name for it is "partial small subunit ribosomal RNA". Lineage: Eukaryota; Viridiplantae; Streptophyta; Magnoliopsida; Poales; Poaceae. The record is from RNAcentral.